UUGCCGAGCCAUGCCGCGUGGAGGAUGAAGGUCCUCUGGAUUGUAAACUUCUUUUAUAUGGGGCGAAAAAAGGCUUUUCUAAGUCGUCUGACGAGUUGAUAUGAAUAAGCACCGGCUAACUGACGCCAGCAGCCGCGGUAAUACGGACGGGUGCAAGCGUUAUCCGGAUGACAGGGUUUAC
RNAcentral lists this ribosomal RNA (181 nucleotides) under uncultured bacterium. RNAcentral's name for it is "partial 16S ribosomal RNA". It matches the Rfam family "Bacterial small subunit ribosomal RNA", at positions 384 to 563 of the family's 1533-position model. The record is from RNAcentral.